Long non-coding RNA from Oncorhynchus tshawytscha (Chinook salmon), 573 nucleotides. The record is from Ensembl. NCBI's taxonomy places the organism in Eukaryota, Metazoa, Chordata, Actinopteri, Salmoniformes, Salmonidae.
AGACCGUCCCCUCGCCCAUACUCGGGCGCGAACCAGGGACCCUCUGCACACAUCAACAACAGUCACCCACGAAGCAUCGUUACCCAUCGCUCCACAAAAGCCACGGCCCUUGCAGAGCAAGGGGAACUACUACUUCAAGGCGUGGGCUGUGGUGUGAAGGCAGCAGAAAGCACUGGGUCAGAGACUGUCGAAGCUCCACCAUAUAGUCCUCCAGGGCCUCAACAGGCUGACUCUUGAUGCUGAAGAUGACUGUAACCAUAGAGACUGUACCAGCACCAGCAACCAGAGAUACAUGACCAGAAAAUAAGGAUGAAGCCUUCUAACAUCUACAUGACUAUAACACGUGCAUUAUUUUUUGCUAAUGCUAUUUAGCCUAUUUAUUUGACUUAGUUGUCCCAGAUCCUUAUAACCUGCAUUCUCAUCUAAAUAUAAGGCUUUGUGUUUUCAAGAGUGAAUCAAGAGCCACCCAUUUAAGUUGUAAUUUUACUGAUCUGCUUGGAAUAUGAUGCUGGCUUUAAAUGUGAAUUAGCAAUGAUCCACUAAUGCCUGGCAGUCUGUCUAUACAAUCUCAAC